CCUCCUGCUUAUAAGGAGCUCCCUUCAUUUCUCCCAUACAACUCCUUCAAGUUAAAGUAAUUUUCUUUGAGAGAAAUAACCCCAUCUUUUCCCUUUAUACAAGUUUCAAUUUAUUCACUCUUUCAAAUUCAGUAAUUGACAUAGUUCUCUAAUUUUUUAGCCUGUCAUUCUGAUCCGAAGCUUGUUAAAAAGACCCUCUGUUUUCAGUUGUACUUAUUUUCACUUAUGUCAUCCAAUUUUCUCACUAAUUCACGUUGCUCUAGCUCUUCCUGGACACCUAAACAAAACAAAACGUUCGAGAAGGCUCUGGCUAAAUAUGACCAGGACACUCCUGACCGCUGGCACAAUGUUGCCAAGGCUGUGGGUGGAAAGUCUGCUGAGGAAGUCAAGCUGCACUAUGAUGCCCUAGUCAGGGAUCUCAAAGACAUUGAGUCUGGCCGCUACCCUUAUCCAUAUCCAAGUGGAAGCAACAGCUAAAGCGGUUCCCAAAGAGUUAAAUACUAAAAUGAACAAGAACAUGAUACUCGCAAAACCAGAGACCUCAGUCGCACAAUCGCAGAAAUACUAGCAAUCUAGCAUUGUAUGAUAUUCCCCCAGAAAAAAAGAAAAUCCCUACUGUAACAGUAUAUGCUGCUAUUACUAUUUUCUGUAUUAUCACUUUGUAUUUUCCUUUGACUUUGUCUAGUUAAAUUAAAAUGUUAAAUAUUUAUAUAGUAA
This is a long non-coding RNA of Gossypium arboreum, 717 nucleotides long. RefSeq lists it as uncharacterized. The transcript has 2 exons. The record is from RefSeq and is a predicted model, not a curated record. NCBI's taxonomy places the organism in Eukaryota, Viridiplantae, Streptophyta, Magnoliopsida, Malvales, Malvaceae.